UCGCAGCUGGUCCGGGAGCUCACGGCUCCUACGCCGGGGCGGAGAGGGGCCGGGUUUCGCUCCAGCGAGCUCCCGAGGCUUCCGCUGCACCCCGGGGCUGUCAGUUUGGAGGAAGGCAGAAGGGCCCAACCCUGCCCUCCGGCCUCCCUGGUCCCUUCAGGGGCUGCUAGCCUGGCGACUGCCGGGGGAGAGCUCAGGGCUUGCACUUGGCGUUCGCGGCCCUUGGAUGGCUCGGGCCCCACCUGGAAGCCCCACCUAGCUGGGAUGAGACACUGAACACAAGUCCUUUAAAAAGUUGCGCUGGCCGUCCCGCUGUGAAGAGCCACGUCCUAAGCCGUGAGCGCUGGAGGCCGCCCUGGUGCCUGGGAGAAGACUGCACCCAGCAGAGUCCCCGACAGUGCCCACCACCCACAAGGACCAGGGCUGUGCAGGGCCCUCCCGCGGUGCCACAGGGAUGGGCAAGGGGGACACGGGGUCUACGGCCGGACAGGCGAGGAGAGGAGCUGCAGAGGUGGAGAGAGUGAGCUGGCAGGACUGGGCUUGUUUUCAGAUGCUUGGCUGCGCCAGAACCUAUGAAGGAACGAACGAACUGCUGGCAUCCGUAUUCCACUCCCUUGCAGGAGCCGGCUGGAGAAUGAAUGAAAUUCAACCCAGCGACAAGAACUGAGAGACCCUACCAGGGGUACCCUGUCCCCGGCGCCCCUCCUGGGGCACAGGCCCAGUCACACCCUCCUCUGCUCCUGUCUGGUACUGGGGGCUCCUGCAUCAGCAAACAGAACGGUUGACGCUCCUCACCUGCCCUCCAGUGACACUCCUUUCUCUCUGACCCGGCUGCUCUGCCCCACACACCCCUCCUGCUAUGCAGCAUUUUUCUAAGAUAAAUAUGAUGGCAUCACUCUCCUCCCCCAGCUGGUAAAAAUAAACAAAUAGAAACCAGAAUAACUGCUGAUGCCUCCCUACCUUCCUCAGGACGUGAAACAAGCUCUUUCAUAUGGCAUGUGUUCAACACUUGUUGAUUUAUUCAUCCAGCAAAUGUUUAUUGAGCUCCCAUGGUGUGCACAGCAGGGGGAACAGAGAGUGACCAGGUCAUCCGUGAUGACUUUACAGAGGGAGCUGGACUGGGGCAGCCAAGACAGAAGAGGAAAUGUGACGGACACAGAGAUGCUCAGAUGAUCAAAGAAACAUCUGGGGUGGGGAUGAUGGGGUGAUUAUCCCUUCUCAGACUGACAAAGACACCAAGACCUGCUAACGUCAAAUCCAUUAUCGGUUGACAGUGGACUGGCACAGGCUUCGUGGGGAGGAAGUCGGCAACGUCUGUCAGCACAAACACAGGUUCACCUGCAACCAGAAUUUCCACUUCUAGGAAAGUAUCCUUCACGGACACUUUUGUGAGCUCACAACAGAAGGGUUCUUACUCUUGGAAAGACUGGAAAUGGCCUGAUUGCUCAUUAAUAAAAAUCAGUUAAGUA
Herpailurus yagouaroundi (jaguarundi) is the source of this 1469-nucleotide long non-coding RNA. RefSeq lists it as uncharacterized. The record is from RefSeq and is a predicted model, not a curated record. NCBI's taxonomy places the organism in Eukaryota, Metazoa, Chordata, Mammalia, Carnivora, Felidae. The transcript is spliced from 2 exons.